AAAUACCAUCAUGGUAUAUUUUACCAUCACAAUCUUCCUCCAUCUCUAUAUCUCUCACAUUGUUCACUUGUGUUUGGCAAGAAUGGAGCCGGCCAAAAUGUGUAUGCAUGGCAAUUUCGGCCAGCCAUGCCUCUCCAUUUUUCUUCCUCUACAAGACUUGCCUCCCACCUAACCCAAUCACUAAAUGGGCAGCCACCCACCUUAGCCAAUCAAAAAAAGGAGGCAGCCACCAUCCUCCCUCUAUUUAAAGAGCUUGGCCGGCCACUCCCUCCUCCUUUGCCUCAUUUCUUUUCACUUCCCACUCCUUUCUUCACUCCCACACACUCUCCUCCUCCCCUCCCCACGAAAUAUUGCUCCCCCAAGGCUUCAUGGCCGGCCAUGGCCAUGGAAAGAGCUCCAAGAUGAAGUCCCCUCCUCCCUCAAGCUCCUCCUCACCAUGAGAGCCUCCCUCUCCUUCUUCUCCCCAACCCUAGAUGGUUUUCUCUCCUCUUCUUCUUCCUCCCUUGCUAAGAUUGGAUCUUGAUGCAGGUGCAUGUUGGUCCAAGCAUGGAGAAGCUUGAGCUAUCCUCAGAUCUGAAGUUCUUGAGCAAAAUCCAAAUCGAGUGGUUCAAAGUUCUGCAGAUAGGUAUUGAAAAUAUCUACAACUUGGCGUUGGUCUCAUCCUCAAAUUCGUUACGGAUUUUGCAUGGUAAAUAAAGUUCUGCAAACAUGCAGAAUCACUGUUUGUUAGAUUUCUCCCGUUUUACCAAACCUUUUUGAGCAAACUAAACUGUGGGUGAAAGCCCUCUCCAAUACCUUCAUUUUGGCGGUGGUUUCACUUCGAUUGACCUCUUAAACUGAAAUGGCUCACAGAUCAAUAUCUGGUCAGAUCUGACAUUGUCGAAUUAAACCAGGAGCUUGGAGAAGAAUUUUUGAAUGAAACCAACUGGGGGAUACUUAGUUGUGCCAUGGUGAUACCUAGAGAGGCAAUUGCUAAGUCGUGGCACUCUCAUACCUUUACUAGAUGCGAACAAUUUCGGAGGAGAAGAAGAAGAAGUGGAAUCAGACAAGGAUUUUAUUUGUACUGUGGGAAUUCUUAUUUGAUGGAGUUGAAGAAGUCCAGGGACAAAUAAGCCAAGGCAAG
Lolium perenne is the source of this 1123-nucleotide non-coding RNA. The record is from RefSeq and is a predicted model, not a curated record. Lineage: Eukaryota; Viridiplantae; Streptophyta; Magnoliopsida; Poales; Poaceae.